RNAcentral lists this ribosomal RNA (433 nucleotides) under uncultured bacterium. RNAcentral's name for it is "partial 16S ribosomal RNA". It matches the Rfam family "Bacterial small subunit ribosomal RNA", at positions 29 to 507 of the family's 1533-position model. The record is from RNAcentral.
AACGAACGCUGGCGGCAUGCCUAACACAUGCGAGUCGAACGGAACCUUCGGGUCUAGUUGCGCACGGGUGCGUAACGCGUGGGAACCUGCCCUUAGGUUCGGAAUACCUCCCCGUAAGGGGUGCUAAUACCGGAUAAUGUCUUCGGACCAAAGAUUUCUCGCCUUUGGGUGGGCGCGUGUUGGCUUCGCUGGUUGGUAGGGUAAAAGCCUACCAAGGCGACGAUCCAUAGCUGGUCGGAGAGGAUGCCCCGCCACACUGGGACUGAGACACGGCCCAGACUCCUACGGGAGGGAGCAGUGGGGAGUAUUGGACGAUGGGCGAAAGCCUGAUCCAGCCAUGCCGCGUGAGUGAUGAAGGCCUUAGGGUUGUAAAGCUCUUUUACCCGGGAUGAUAAUGACAGUAACGGGAGAAUAAGCACCGGCUAACUCCGUG